This 72-nucleotide transfer RNA is filed under the name Camelus bactrianus (Bactrian camel). It matches the Rfam family "tRNA". Rfam says of the family: Transfer RNA (tRNA) molecules are approximately 80 nucleotides in length. Their secondary structure includes four short double-helical elements and three loops (D, anti-codon, and T loops). Further hydrogen bonds mediate the characteristic L-shaped molecular structure. tRNAs have two regions of fundamental functional importance: the anti-codon, which is responsible for specific mRNA codon recognition, and the 3' end, to which the tRNAs corresponding amino acid is attached (by aminoacyl-tRNA synthetases). tRNAs cope with the degeneracy of the genetic code in two manners: having more than one tRNA (with a specific anti-codon) for a particular amino acid; and 'wobble' base-pairing, i.e. permitting non-standard base-pairing at the 3rd anti-codon position. The record is from Rfam by way of RNAcentral. Lineage: Eukaryota; Metazoa; Chordata; Mammalia; Artiodactyla; Camelidae. RNAcentral also lists the same sequence under 2 other names.
GAGGGUAUAGCUCAGUGGUGGAGCAUGUGCUUAGCAUGCAUGAGGUCCUGGGUGCAGUCCCCAGUACCUCCA